GAUGAACGCUGGCGGCGUGCCUAAUACAUGCAAGUCGAGCGAACAGACGAGGAGCUUGCUCCUCUGACGUUAGCGGCGGACGGGUGAGUAACACGUGGAUAACCUACCUAUAAGACUGGGAUAACUUCGGGAAACCGGAGCUAAUACCGUAUAAUAUAUUGAACCGCAUGGUUCAAUAGUGAAAGACGGUUUUGCUGUCACUUAUAGAUGGAUCCGCGCCGCAUUAGCUAGUUGGUAAGGUAACGGCUUACCAAGGCAACGAUGCGUAGCCGAGCUGAGAGGCUGAUCGGCCACACUAGAACUGAGACACGGUCCAGACUCCUACGGGAGGCAGCAGUAGGGAAUCUUCCGCAAUGGGCGAAAGCCUGACGGAGCAACGCCGCGUGAGUGAUGAAGGUCUUCGGAUCGUAAAACUCUGUUAUUAGGGAAGAACAAAUGUGUAAGUAACUAUGCACGUCUUGACGGUACCUAAUCAGAAAGCCACGGCUAACUACGUG
RNAcentral lists this ribosomal RNA (497 nucleotides) under uncultured bacterium. Its description in RNAcentral is "partial 16S ribosomal RNA". It matches the Rfam family "Bacterial small subunit ribosomal RNA", at positions 28 to 507 of the family's 1533-position model. The record is from RNAcentral.